This 253-nucleotide ribosomal RNA is filed under the name uncultured bacterium. RNAcentral's name for it is "partial 16S ribosomal RNA". It matches the Rfam family "Bacterial small subunit ribosomal RNA", at positions 524 to 776 of the family's 1533-position model. The record is from RNAcentral.
GACGAGGGGUCCAAGCGUUGUUCGGAAUCAUUGGGCGUAAAGCGGGUGUAGGUGGCUUUGUAAGUCAGGAGUGGAAUCCCCGAGCUUAACUUGGGAAGUGCUUUUGAAACUGCAGAGCUUGAGUGUGGGAGAGGAUCGUGGAAUUCCAGGUGUAGUGGUGAAAUACGUAGAUAUCUGGAGGAACACCGGUGGCGAAGGCGGCGAUCUGGCCCAACACUGACACUGAGACCCGAAAGCGUGGGGAUCAAACAGG